CGGCGUAAAGAACUUGCCUCACAGCUAGGGACAACAUUUAGAAAUGAAUGCUAAUACCUGAUAUUAUGAUUUUAAGGCAUCUUAGAAUUAUGAAAGCUAUAAGCACUGUGAGAGAGCUUUGCGUCCCAUUAGCUAGUUGGAGAGGUAACAGCUCACCAAGGCGAUGAUGGGUAGCCGGCCUGAGAGGGUGAACGGCCACAAGGGAACUGAGACACGGCCCUU
Molecule: ribosomal RNA, 222 nt
Filed under: uncultured bacterium
Lineage: Bacteria
Description: partial 16S ribosomal RNA
Rfam family: Bacterial small subunit ribosomal RNA
Source: RNAcentral